RNAcentral lists this ribosomal RNA (472 nucleotides) under uncultured bacterium. RNAcentral's name for it is "bacterial SSU rRNA". It matches the Rfam family "Bacterial small subunit ribosomal RNA", at positions 26 to 518 of the family's 1533-position model. The record is from RNAcentral.
AGGACGAACGCUGGCGGCGUGCUUAACACAUGCAAGUCGAACGGGAGUAUUGAAGAAGCUUGCUUUAGAGAUACUUUAGUGGCGGACGGGUGAGUAACGCGUGAGGAGCUGUCCUAUGCAGGGGGACAACAGCUGGAAACGGCUGCUAAUACCCCAUAAGCCGAGAGGUAAAAGGAUCAAUCCGGCAGAGGAGGUACUCGCGUCCUAUCAGCUAGUAGGUGAGGUAACGGCUCACCUAGGCGAAGACGGGUAGCCGGCCUGAGAGGGCGAACGGCCACACUGGAACUGAGAUACGGUCCAGACUCCUACGGGAGGCAGCAGUGGGGAAUAUUGGGCAAUGGGGGAAAAACCCCUGACCCAGCGACGCCGCGUGGGUGAAGAAAUCCUUCGGGAUGUAAAGCCCUGUUGUAUGGGAAGAGCGGAAGACGGUACCAUACGAGGAAGCCCCGGCAAACUACGUGCCAGCCGCGGC